RNAcentral lists this ribosomal RNA (497 nucleotides) under uncultured bacterium. RNAcentral's name for it is "partial 16S ribosomal RNA". It matches the Rfam family "Bacterial small subunit ribosomal RNA", at positions 28 to 507 of the family's 1533-position model. The record is from RNAcentral.
GAUGAACGCUAGCGGCGUGCCUAAUACAUGCCAGUCGAGCGAACAGACGAGGAGCUUGCUCCUCUGACGUUAGCGGCGGACGGGUGAGUAACACGUGGAUAACCUACCUAUAAGACUGGGAUAACUUCGGGAAACCGGAGCUAAUACCGGAUAAUAUAUUGAACCGCAUGGUUCAAUAGUGAAAGACGGUUUUGCUGUCACUUAUAGAUGGAUCCGCGCCGCAUUAGCUAGUUGGUAAGGUAACGGCUUACCAAGGCGACGAUGCGUAGCCGACCUGAGAGGGUGAUCGGCCACACUGGAACUGAGACACGGUCCAGACUCCUACGGGAGGCAGCAGUAGGGAAUCUUCCGCAAUGGGCGAAAGCCUGACGGAGCAACGCCGCGUGAGUGAUGAAGGUCUUCGGAUCGUAAAACUCUGUUAUUAGGGAAGAACAAAUGUGUAAGUAACUAUGCACGUCUUGACGGUACCUAAUCAGAAAGCCACGGCUAACUACGUG